UGGGGAAUAUUGGACAAUGGGCGCAAGCCUGAUCCAGCCAUGCCGCGUGUGAGAUGAAGGCGCUAGGGUUGUAAAGCUCUUUCACCGGUGAAGACAAUGACGGUAACCGGAGAAGAAGCCCCGGCUAACUUCGUGCCAGCAGCCGCGGUAAUACGAAGGGGGCUAGCGUUGUUCGGAUUUACUGGGCGUAAAGCGCACGUAGGCGGACUUUUAAGUCAGGGGUGAAAUCCCGGGGCUCAACCCCGGAACUGCCUUUUAUACUGGAAGUCUUGAGUAUGGUAGAGGUGAGUGGAAUUCCGAGUGUAGAGGUGAAAUUCGUAGAUAUUCGGAGGAACACCAGUGUCGAAGGCGGCUCACUGGGCCAUUACUGACGCUGAGGUGCGAAAGCGUGGGGAGCAAACAGG
RNAcentral lists this ribosomal RNA (404 nucleotides) under Actinomycetes bacterium. RNAcentral's name for it is "Actinobacteria bacterium partial 16S ribosomal RNA". It matches the Rfam family "Bacterial small subunit ribosomal RNA", at positions 355 to 776 of the family's 1533-position model. The record is from RNAcentral. Lineage: Bacteria; Bacillati; Actinomycetota; Actinomycetes.